RNAcentral lists this ribosomal RNA (253 nucleotides) under uncultured bacterium. RNAcentral describes it as "partial 16S ribosomal RNA". It matches the Rfam family "Bacterial small subunit ribosomal RNA", at positions 524 to 776 of the family's 1533-position model. The record is from RNAcentral.
UACGGAGGGUGCAAGCGUUGUCCGGAUUUAUUGGGUUUAAAGGGUGCGUAGGCGGCUUAUUAAGUCAGUGGUGAAAUCCUGCAGCUCAACUGUAGAAUUGCCAUUGAUACUGACAAGCUUGAAUUCAGGCGAGGUAGGCGGAAUUGACGGUGUAGCGGUGAAAUGCAUAGAUAUCGUCAAGAACACCGAUUGCGAAGGCAGCUUACUAGACUGACAUUGACGCUGAGGCACGAAAGUGUGGGGAUCAAACAGG